RNAcentral lists this long non-coding RNA (3031 nucleotides) under Cairina moschata (Muscovy duck). Its description in RNAcentral is "domestica (muscovy Duck (domestic type)) lncRNA (ENSCMMG00000002072.1)". The record is from RNAcentral. Lineage: Eukaryota; Metazoa; Chordata; Aves; Anseriformes; Anatidae.
AGGCCCCACUUAUGUGCUGUAUGAAAUUCUUACUCUGCAUCUCUGGAAAUCGUAGAAUAUUUCUUUUCAUUGGCUGGGAACCCACAAUUUAGCACAUGUAUUAUGUGAUGUCAUUAAGAUCCUACUGCACAUGAAGUAAAUGGAAGGAAUCUACACAUGUGGGAGAACUAGGAGAACCUCAAAAGCAUGAAAGUCCAUGAAGGGAGGCCGACAAGACGCCGUUACAGAAGAUACCGGGAGAAUCACAGAGGUGAGCAGCCCUGGACAAGGGCAGGUGCCCUGGAAAGAUACCGCCUGGCCCCAUGUGCCAGCUGCCCUACCAGGGUCUCCCAGUCCACUGACUGUCUGUCUUCUCUGCCAACAGUUCGGGAUGCCCAUGACUCUUCAAAGCCCUCAAAGAAACCGUAAGUGGAACCAUUCACUCUGGAGUGUGACAGCCUUCUCUGGUCAACCCCACGAAAUGAGGUCCCGCUAAUGCUGUGCUUUGCCUCUUCACAGAUGUCCCAAACACCCGGAGCUGGAUGGUGUGCCUAGACUAACCCAACAGUUCAACACAAUCCUCGAGGACCUCAACAGAUACAUUGAAAUGUACAGCUUUGAGAUUACUGAGUGCACUGAUGACUCCCUCAAUCCCAUCAGUACAACGGAAACCAGCUCCUCUUCAGGGAUGUCUCUGUCCACUGGGAGAAGGAACUCCUGCACUUCUGUCGUCAAAAUGAAAGCCCACCGCUCUUCGAAGACCUCUCCAUCAUCCUGUAGCAAUGUAUCCAUCACUUCUGUUUUGGACAUGGAUCCCUGCUGCUCUUCAAGGGCCUCCUUUUCCACUUGGAGUGACAACUCCCUUGCUGCCAUUGUGGCAACAAACACCAGUUGCUCUUCAAAGGCCCCACUGAUCCCAUACAAGGACGACUCCCACACUUACACCAGGAUGAGUGAAGGUGCUUCACAGCUGUCACUCACAACUCUUCUGAACGGAGCAGACAUGGUUCAAGCUUCCACAGUCCAGCCUUGUCUGCUUCCCAGUACUGUCCCAGAGGAGCAGCAUGACAUGGGCACACAUCCACCCUGCACAGAAGAGAUGGCCAGCUGCCACAGGGCCUACAGAGUGAAGCAGCAACAGAAAGAACUCCAGGACCAGCAGGGUGCUCCCACCCUACCUCCACUGGUGCCUGAUUCCCAGUCCAGGGAAACGGAGGUGCAACAGAAAGAACUUCAGGACCAGCAGGGUGCUCCCACCCCACCUCCACUGGUGCCUGAUUUCCAGUCCGUGGAAACGGAGGUGCAAGAGAAACAAGUCCAGGACCAGCAGGGUGCUCCCACCCCACCUCCACUGGUGCCUGACUCCCAGUCCAGGAAAACAGAGGUGCCUUUCCCACAUCAAGAAACCCAGGAGACCGUGCACUGCCUUGCCCCAAGAAGGAAAGAAGAGGUGAAACUGGAGCUGCCGACUGAUGGGGUGUGUUCUUGGCAGGAUAGCCCAGCCUCAGUUCCUCAAAUGUCUCAGAGACAACCAAAGCCUGAUGUGGUAGUGGUUCCCAUUGUGAAGGACAUACCAUUCCUGGAUGAGGCUGUAAAAAGGCAGCUGGAGCGUCACAUUAUAAAAAAGCAGAUACAGCGGCGCUUUGGACUGCCAGCAAAGGUCCUGGCCUAUGAGAAGGACUUUUUAGAACCUAUCCUGGAGCAACAAGAAUCCCAGCCCCCAUCUUCGCAGAUACGCACUGGGCAGCCCUACCGGUCACCCUUCCAGCAGUGGGACAGGCGCACCACAAAGUCAGCAGUGCGACCCCCUGGCCUGCAGCAAGAGUCCGCAGCCCAGAAGAAUACAUGCACACGAGGGACACAGACACCAGACCAGUCUGUGCCAGCAGCUAUUCCAAGAGUGGCACAAAGGAUGCCUCAGGAGGAUGGGAAGAGACCACAUUGGAAAAGGGAGUCUGGAGGAACAGCCAGAAGCAGCAGCAUGACCAGCAAGAAGACUUUGCCUUGCACCAAGAAGGAUCAGGGCUCUGGGACACAAAGUGACGGUCAAGGUACUUCCCCUUCCAUCCAGGAAGAGCAGGCACCGCCACUGAGCGAGGGAGCUCCCCAGGGGCAUUCAGGACAGGACUGUGUGAACCACAUCAUCUCCACUGAGACACAAGAAUUGCAACUGGAGAAGAAUGUUCCCACGGGAGAAGCAGAGCACUCCCAGGAAGGCCAGGGCUGCAUCAGUGGGGAUGUGUGGUCACCUGAGCUGCCAUCCAACAGGACAUCUUCUCCAAGAAGUAGUUCCCCACAGACACAGCGCUGCUCUUAUGAGACACCCUCAGCUCUGCCAGUGCCUCCAGACUCUGCUGGGACCAGUACUCAGAUCCCCUACCUGGAAGAGCUGCUCACAACACUUGUGGACUGCUUCAUGGCCAGAACAGCUGCUGAAAACCUGGAGAACCAGCUGCUGGCUUUAUGGCUGGAGCAGAAUUCAAGCACGGAGCAUGCAGCAGAGCACCCCGUUGCCUCACCACAUAGAAGACCAAAAGAAUCACAGAAGAGCAAGAGGCACACCCAGGAUGGAUCUGGCUCCAGGAGACGCUGCCCCAAGUGCAGCAGAUCCCCGCACUACAACCUGCCUGGCAGCGAUGGCUCCCAGCCUUCAGCUCCAUCUGAGGCUGCAACCCCAGGUGCAGGAAGGGACAGGACACCAGGAGAGAGGCAUCCACCCAAGGAAAGAGCCAAGAGGAAGCAGGGCCAGAAGGUGACUGCUGCUGCCACCCGGAAGCAGGAGGGGAUCCGUGUGUACAAAGAGGUGAUACUGAUCCCUCCAGUUGAGCAGGAGAGGCUUCCAUCCCAGCAAGCCCCUGCCUGGACCCUGCCAUCAGGAACACGGAGGCUCCCCAGACGUGUAGCAGCCAGACACAGGAAUCCGAGGACAGAGACACCACCUCUGCCAGGCACCUUCUGCUGCGUGCUCACCCCCAUCUGCUUUUGCCUUCAGUGUGCCUGGGCCAUGCUCCGAGAUGCAGGCAAGGCCCUACUUGCCCGCAUCAAGAAGUGA